UUGAAUGAAAGCAAUAAAUGAAAUUUCAAGGUUGGAGAGCAAUUCUAAGCUUUCAUUUUUUUUUUAAAUGAAGUAAAGAUAGUGCAUUUAUAGUCCAAAAUCAUUUUAGACUGUUUAAAAUCCUUUUGAAAUGUUACAGAUAGUGUUUUAGGUGAAAUAGUCGUUAUUUUGUCCUUUUGCACGAAACAGAGAAACUCUGAUCAUUAAGUAAACUAAUAGAAUUUUGGUAACAGUAGCAAACUGGUUAGCAAACUAAUAUUUUAGUAAACAAGUUAGCAAACUAAUUUAUCAGAUAUCUAAUUCAAUUUUGCAGAAAAAUUUUAAUCUUUGAAAACCUGAUUUAGACUUUAAGAAAAACAUUAAUUCCAAUAAAAAUAUCCAAGGUCAUGAUUAGAGAAAAUUUUGUAAAGUAAUUGAAAGAAAAAUUAAUUUUGGGUUCCAAUUGACUAAAACUGUCAUCUAUCAUUUUUACACAAAUCCUAAGACUCAAUUUUUAACUUUAUGACUUUCAUACCUUCAACUUGAGCCUUAGCUUUCAUAGCCUUGUUCUUUCUCAACUUAGAUUCAUCUUGAGUUGCCUUUUAGUGUCCUUCUUCCUUAGAUGCAACCUCAAGGAUUUUUCAUAAAUAAGGGAAAGAAUCUAUACAUCACUUGAAAUUGAGUUAGAUAGAUUCUAGUUGAGCUCAUCAAAAUCAAUGCUCAUUUUG
RNAcentral lists this unclassified non-coding RNA (707 nucleotides) under Hevea brasiliensis (rubber tree). Lineage: Eukaryota; Viridiplantae; Streptophyta; Magnoliopsida; Malpighiales; Euphorbiaceae. The record is from RNAcentral.